CCCGCUUAUUAUGGUUGUCUACACCAUUUUGGUUGCAAGCAAUUUCUUUAACCGGGUUAUCGAUUUCCUCGGAAGCUGGAAGAGAUUUAGAUUUCAGUCCGAGGUAGAUGAUAUGGAUGGAUUUGAUCCUUCAGGAGUAAUUAUAUUGCAGAAAGAACGAUCUUGGCUUGAACAAGGGCGCAUGGUUGGUGAGCACGUUAUUCCAUUAGCUAGGAAUUUCAACAGCAUAGACUUGGAGUCUGGCAGCAGCAAUAGCACAGAUUUGCUAGAUGUCAAAGCGAAGGCAACAAACAGUCUAAUAAAUGAAGACAUGAAUGGGAAUUCGUCAAAAUCUUCUGUCGAUGAGGGUCGGAAGUAUGGUUCUAGCAGAGAAGCCAUGAGCAACAAGUAUGCUGCAAUUAGAGAACAAAUUAGACAAUCAACAUUAAACACAAAGCCAGUGGCGAACAUUGCUUCUGCCAAGGUUACCUUACUUGAUACAGACGAUGGUGAAUCUAGCAAUACCAAUGAAAAGACAACUUCUGGUUUGGCCUCAAAGUGGGAAUCAAUGAAG
This 553-nucleotide unclassified non-coding RNA is filed under the name Hevea brasiliensis (rubber tree). The record is from RNAcentral. Lineage: Eukaryota; Viridiplantae; Streptophyta; Magnoliopsida; Malpighiales; Euphorbiaceae.